Piliocolobus tephrosceles (Ugandan red Colobus) is the source of this 1741-nucleotide long non-coding RNA. The record is from Ensembl. NCBI's taxonomy places the organism in Eukaryota, Metazoa, Chordata, Mammalia, Primates, Cercopithecidae.
GGCUCUUCCAAGUAACCAAAACAUCUAGUUUCCCCAACAGAGAUCCAUCUGGUAUUUUGGUCAGUCGUGCCUCAUGGUAUAUAUGAAUAACCAGUGGUUUAAAUGGGGAACCACGUCUGCUUCUGGAAUCCUACCAAGUGGGAUCUUGGAGCAGGUUAUGCCGGAGGAAGCCUGCGUCACUCGCUGUAUGUGAAAGUGAAGUGUGAGGAGGUCGUCAUCACACUUACCUGUUGAGGCUUCUGAACUUACCGUCUGCCUCAACAGGCUGGAGUUUCUAAACUGCACGAAAAGCCCCAGCGAGUUGUCACCCAUCGCAGGUACCAGAUGCUCGGCCAUGCCCUCCACUCGGUGUUAUCCCAGCACUUACCACGUCGGCACAGUGGGGUCAGCAUGACAGUGCUCUCAUGGCAAAGACGGGGAGACCAACUUCCCCGUCACAGCAGGGACACAGUGGGCAGGGAUUUGAACCUGGAUUCGACGUCAGCGUCCACCGUCUUACCCACGGCGAGCCUGACGCAGGGAAGGUUUUACCUGUUCUUCCUCUUUCUUGUCCUCGGUUGUCCAGGCCUGGGUGUUCAGCACGUUCCCUCCAGUAAGUUUAGAGUGGCAUCUCUCCGAGGGCCAGACCCCGGUGAGGACGGACAUCUUAGCUCCCAUUCUGAGUGGAAGGAGAGAGGCUUGGUCCAGCUCUCAAAGCCUUCUAUGCCCACCAGGAAUCCAGGAAGACCUGGAGAGCCCGAAGCAGUAAACGGGAGAGGCGCUCCGUGGGAAACGCGGGCGGAGAGGGAGAACCUUUCCCACUGAAACCUCCAGCCCCGGCUUCUUCUCAGCCUUUGGCAGCUAUUAAAAAAAUUCCUUCAAUUUUUGCCCACUAAUGAUGCCCAUCAUUCUCUGGAACCUGAAUUCAGGAGCGUAGGCUCACAGCCCUGUCUUACAUGAUGUACGCUUUUUAUCUCAAAAGCGUUUUAUCUCAAAAAGCUGGGGCCAUUUGUACCCGAGAAGGGUGUAGCCAUAGGAACAUCUGCACCUAUACUUAGUAGAUAAUUAAGCCAGUUUUCUGGGUACUUAAUAGUUUUCUACUUCACGGUGUGUAGGUUAUACUUGGUUUUAGUUAUGACAGAUUGGGAUAAUAAGUAUAAAAGUAACCAUCUAAUUAACGGCUCCAUGUACUGUAUGAUUCUGGAAAGCAUUAUUUAGAAUUAUUGGAUCAGGUUAGGCUGUGGACAUACUGUGUCUGGAUUUUCCUAAGUUCUCUUAAAAAACGAGUUCAGACCAAUACAUAUAUUUAUGGGGGAGUACAUAAAGGCAGUCUGCAGAAUGCCCGUGUGGAGGCGUCUGGGCAGGAAUGCCAGUGUGGAUGCAUCUGGGUAAGGCUGGCGGCCUCAUGGAGGGAUGAUAGGUCAUUGUCAGUCGCUGUGGCUGAAUUAAGUUCACCCCCCAAUUCACAUGUUGAAGUCCUGACCCCUAGGACCUCAGAAUGUAACUGUAUUUGGAGAUAGGGCAUUUCAAGAGUUAAUUAAAGUAAAGUGAAGUAUUAGGAUGGGCCCUGGUCCCACCUGACCGGGGUCCUUAUAAGAAGAGGAGAUGAGGACACAGACACACCCAGAGGGCCGACCCUGCCAGGACCCAGGGAAGAGAAAGGGAAGGAGGCAUUGGAGAGAGCCAGCCCUGCCCACAUCUUGCUGUUGGUCUUCCAGCCUCCAGAGCUGUGAGAAAUAAACUUCUGUGUGUAAGCCCCCCA